GACGAACGCUGGCGGCGUGCUUAACACAUGCAAGUCGAACGGAAAGGCCCUGCUUUUGUGGGGUGCUCGAGUGGCGAACGGGUGUGUAACACGUGAGUAACCUGCCCUUGACUUUGGGAUAACUUCAGGGAACUGGGGCUAAUACCGGAUAGGAGCUCCUGCUGCAUGGUGGGGGUUGGAAAGUUUCGGCGGUUGGGGAUGGACUCGCGGCUUAUCAGCUUGUUGGUGGGGUAGUGGCUUACCAAGGCUUUGACGGGUAGCCGGCCUGAGAGGGUGACCGGCCACAUUGGGACUGAGAUACGGCCCAGACUCCUACGGGAGGCAGCAGUGGGGAAUAUUGCACAAUGGGCGGAAGCCUGAUGCAGCAACGCCGCGUGCGGGAUGACGGCCUUCGGGUUGUAAACCGCUUUCGCCUGUGACGAAGCGUGAGUGACGGUAAUGGGUAAAGAAGCACCGGCUAACUACGUG
RNAcentral lists this ribosomal RNA (468 nucleotides) under uncultured bacterium. RNAcentral describes it as "partial 16S ribosomal RNA". It matches the Rfam family "Bacterial small subunit ribosomal RNA", at positions 28 to 507 of the family's 1533-position model. The record is from RNAcentral.